AAGUUAUUCCCUUCAUCUGCAAGUAGCCAUAAUAUUUUGGCUCAUCUGUGUAUGCAAAACUAUGCCUGUUGAAGUAGCAUAACUGGUAACAUAUAGAAAGAGAUUUUCUGUAAGGCCAUUUAUUGUGUAAAACCAUUUUCACUGAGGCAAGAGCUUAAACACUCAGUGGUGCGGAGCAAACUCGGCCAAUUAAUUAAAAUAACACACUUUAACCCACUCACUUACUUUUUAAAUAUUUUUAUUUAGGACAUUUAUUUCCUGCUGACAGUUUACCUUUCUACAACCCCAAUUUCAAAAAAGUUGGGAUGCUGUGUAAAACGUAAAACCCAUAAACCCAUAUGUUAUUCACAGAAGAACAUAGAAAACAUAUCAAAUGUUAAAAUUGAGUAAAUGUACCAUUUAAAGAAAAUAUUAAGGUAAUUUUGAAAGACUCUGCCUCACUAAGAUACUCUUUUUAUGUUACUGGCCAGUUGCCAAUUAAACUCCAGCUGUUUAUUUUUAGUAGCACUUACCUUUCCAGCCUUUUGUUGCCCUCGUCCCAAGUUUUUUUGACACAUGUUGCGGCCAUCAAAUUCAAAAUUAUCAAAUUUUUUUCUUAAAAUCGUACAUUUCCACAUUUGAUAUAUUUUCUAUAUUCUACUGUGAACAACAUAUGGGUUUAUGAGAUUUUCAAAUCAUUGAAUCAUUGCAUUCUGCUUUUAUUUACAUUUUGCACUGCGUCCCAACUUUUUCGGACUUGGGGUUGUACAAAGUUUAACUGGCUUCUGAGCCUUUACUAUAACAAAUGUCAUAUGCAAACUGGGGCUGUUCUUGACAGCCUGUUGACCUUGGAAUAGGGACGAUCUUCAGCAUACAACAGACUGAUUUUCAUUUCGACCUUUCCUAGGUCUUCUGACCAGAGUCUUCUUAUUUGAACAAAACCAAAAGGCAUGGAAAUGAAGGGAAAUGAAUAUGUCCAUGUACAUCCUCAAAGCUCAGAAGAGAAAAGCAGCGAGAGAUGGUUUACUUUAUUGUUGAAUUAUUUCUAUGCCUGCUGUAGCAAUAUACUGCAGUUAUCUGUGUGACCUUUAAGAUAAAUAAUAAAAAACAAAAUGAUUAAGGCGAUUCCCACCGUGGCCCUGUGUGUGCAGAGUUUGCGUGUUCUCCCCGUGCUGCGGGGGGUUCCUCCGGGUACUCCGGUUUUCUCCCCCAGUCCAAAGACAUGCAUGGUAGGCUGAUUGGCGUGUCCAAAGUGUCCGUAGUGUAUGAAUGGGUGUGUGAGUGUGUGUGUGAUUGUGCCCUGCGAUGGAUUGGCACCCUGUCCAGGGUGUACCUCGCCUUGUGCCUGAUGCUUCCUGGAAUAGGCUCCAGGUUCUCCGUGACCCUGAAAAGGAUUUGCGGUAUAGAAGAUGGAUGGAUGGAUGAUUAAGGCAAAUAGUUCUUUCAUAAAGCUUAGCUAGUCAACUACAGCUAUUGAAGUAGCAUAUCUGUUAACAUAUGGAAAGGGUUAGAUUUCCAGAGAUUUCCAGAGAUUUUCUAAUGGCUGAAGUUCGUGCCCGAAGGCGUGUUUUGCAGGUUCCCUUUCCUAAACCAGAUUCAGAAGUCACUUGUGUUUUCUGAAAUGAUCAUGGUUAUAUCUGUAACCCAGUAGCUGCCAAGGUCUAAUGUAAAUGGAUUUAUCGAAAAAUUGAAUUUUAUUCACAUCUCUUAGUGAGGUCACAUUCGUGCCACAGCUCAAGACAACGAUAUAAAAAUGAGCGCUUCAGCCACCGUAAACAUCUCACUGCAGGAUGAAAAUGACACCACUCCAGUUUUUAGAAGAGACGUAUACCAUUUCAGACAGUCCGGACCCGCAGUCUGUUUUCCCUUGAUGGGAAAGUUGAACACCACAGAUGUCUGCUGUUUGCUGUCUGACACCAGACUAAAAAACAGAUUUGAUCAUGGUUCGAGGAAAGGAAUUGUCGUCAGAGAAGCGUGCACAAAUCUUCAUUUUGCACAAACAGCAGAUGUCUAGUAGGGAAAUUUCCAAAAAAAAAACUGAACAUGCAAGUCCACUGUUGUCGCCACAGUCAAAAGAGCAACUGAACUUUCAUGAACAAAUAUAUAGUGAUUGCAAACUUUUGGCCAUGACUAUAGAUAUAGAUAUAAAUAUAGAUAUAUAUAGAUGUAGAUAUAGAUAUAUAU
This is a long non-coding RNA of Ictalurus punctatus (channel catfish), 2163 nucleotides long. The record is from Ensembl. NCBI's taxonomy places the organism in Eukaryota, Metazoa, Chordata, Actinopteri, Siluriformes, Ictaluridae.